Molecule: long non-coding RNA, 376 nt
Filed under: Phascolarctos cinereus (koala)
Lineage: Eukaryota; Metazoa; Chordata; Mammalia; Diprotodontia; Phascolarctidae
Description: lncRNA (ENSPCIG00000028880.2)
Source: RNAcentral
UUUGUGGCCUCUUUUCUGAAAAGAAUAUUUCUUUUUCUAUUUGUUUAUUUUAUUAGUGUCUUCACUUCUACUUUAGUAACCACCUCCAGGGCAGCCUGUUUUUUCUGAAAAGAACAGAAACUAUCAUCAACAGAGGAAUCAAUUGAAAAGUUUGGAAAACUUCCUGUCCAACAGACAUCCCUGUGGGUCUUCCCAUACCAGCAAACAAGGGAUGUCAUCACUUGGACUCCUCUAUAGGGUUUUUCUUCUUCCUUUGUAUUUUGAAAAUACCCCAUUGGACAUGCUCCAUGACAAUGAUGAAGAGAAAGCUGACCUAUAACUGUGACACCCCAACAGUCUGUUUUGUAACUUCAAAUUGAAAGGAGUAGCAACGUGC